CUGGCUGGCCCCGGGAGCCUUUGCCGCGCGCCUGGGAAGGCCCCGCCCCCGAUAAGACCAAGUCCCGGAACCGAGCAUGGCCACGCCCCGCCGCCGGCCGAGCUCCGGAAGGCCCCGCCCCCGCGCAGACCACGCCCUUCCCCUGACCCUACCCCACUCCCAGCUCUGCACCCUCACCGAAGGACUUUGGACAGGCCCGCUGGCGACAGUUUCAUCCACCUCGGCCCGAAUUCAUCCCACUGGGAUGGCCCCCAGUCCCUGCGCUGAGGUUGCCAUGUCAGAGUCCAGCGGGCGGGCAGCACUGAGCCCGGGGGUCGGUCUGAGCUCACAAGCUCUGCAGCAAACCUUCGCCAAGAAAGGAGACUCUUUCCUUCCUCUCUGUGCAGUUGUGACACAGGAGAAAUUACAGCCUCUUUUGAGCCAUGGUAACUCAGUCGGGGCUCCAGCGUGUGGCCCUUCGUCCUUCCGCCAAGGGUGGGGACCAGCACGGCGGCUGUGAGGCUGGCAGCUGGUGGGCCGCGUGUCCCCCCUCCUGUGUGGGACAGCUGGCUGUGCCGGUGACCCUCCCAGGAGCCCGGCUGACUAGGAGCCGCUCAUCAGCUGUGCUGGAAACUUGAAAUCCAAAAACUUCAGAAAACCACUCUUCUGUGGCCCUGAGGAUAGUCAUUCAGUACGUCUACCUUCAACUUACUCAUUUCAUUAUACAAGGCAUUUUUGUUGAGCACCUGCAUAUGCCAGCCACUGUAUCAACUAGGAUCCUGCAUGCUGCAUGAGGCAGCCAAAAUAUUUUUUUUCCCUUAAUUAAAUGUAUGCAAGAGGGUAAAAAAAAAAAGAAGAGGGUGACUGACAUUGAAGUUCCUUGGAUCAAGAGGAGGAGAGUAGAUUUAGGGAUAAAUAAGAUUGUUUUCUUUUCUGGCUGCAGUGCAUGGCAUGUAGGGAUCUUACAAAGUUUACUGACCAGGGGGUCACACCUGUGCCCUCUGCAUUGGAAACUCGGUGUCUUAACUACUGGACUAUCAGAGAAGUCCUGGGAUUUCUUUCUUAGGUAUAUUUUCAAGAAAACCACCUAAAGAAUAUAGAAUUAGUGUAACUCACAAACCCACUAAUGGGAAAACUUGUGAAAGUUAAGUGUUGUUAGUUGCACAGGUGUGUUUCCUCUGCGGCCCCGUGGACUGUAGCCCAUCAGGCUCCUUUGUCCAUGGGAUUCCCCAGGCAAGAAUACCAGAGUGGGUAGCCAUUUCCUUCUCCAGGGGAUCUUUCUGACCCAGGGAUCAAACCUGGGUCUCCUGCAUUACAGGCAGAUUCUUUACUGUCUGAGCCACCAGUGAAGCAAGGGGAAGAAAAGAAACAAGCUGAACAGGCUGGUAGUCACCCCAGGCUGGGGGAGGCAGAAGUUUUUGGGAUGAGGCAUUCAUAAAUACCCAGGUGUACAUUACUUACCAGUGUUCUAGCUCACACACUGGGAGAUGUAGCUAACAGUAUAGCCUCAAAAUACAGAAAGCAAAAAUUAACAGAAUUACAAGGGAAAAUGGGCAAAUCUGCCAGUAAGACAUUUAUGUAUCUUGCCCAGUAAUUAACAGAUCAGACAAAAGUUACACAGACAUAAAAGAUCUGUACAAAAAUGUCACAGUCUUGGGACUUCCCUGGUGGUCCAGCGAUUAAAGAAUCCACCUUCCAAAGCAGGUUUGAUCCCUGUCUGGGGAACUAGGGCCCCACAGGCCACAGGACAACUAGGCCUGCACGCCGUGAACUGAGCCCGGGAGCCACAGCUGGGCAGCCUGUGUGCUGCAGCGAAGAUCCCGCAACCACGGUGAAGACCUGACGUGCCACAACCAAGACGUGAGGCACAGGAGUUCAGUCAAAACUUAAGUCACCAUCUCUACCUAGUCAACACACCCCUAACUUUGCACCUAACCAUUAGAGAAAACACACAAAAUUCACCACAGACAGGCCAUGAAAAGCUCCUAACAAGUAAAAGACUCAAGGGUACACGGAACAUUCCUGUAACCACAGUGCGCUCGAGUUAAAGCCGACUCUGGGACCCAGCUCUCCGCGGCUCACACGCGCAUCUGCACAGCUGCACAACGAGGUCACACAGAAAGAGGCGGCAGGUGAAUCUGGCCCACGAGCCUUGGUGGGGCCUUUUGCUCUAAGACCACCGGCGGCUAGAGGCACCAUGCGCUACCACCACGCACCACAGGGGGGCGCAGUGGCCGCGCCAGCCUGAGGAGCCGGCCCAUGUGCGGAAACAGAUGGGCUUCAGUCCUGUACCCACGUGUUCCAGCCUGACUCAGAAAUUCACUAUUUCAUGCCAAUGUCACACACAGUGGAAGAUACUAAGGAAAAAUGAGAGAAGCAGAUGGGAUCUUUCUGAUGGGCGUUUCAACCGAAACUGAGGAACUGACUCCAUUAUUCCAGAAAAACACCUAGAGUAAAAUUCCUUCCUGUUUCCACGUUUAUCUUGUGGACACACGAGAGACGGAACCACUGACCGCUGGGCAAGCUCCAGCAGAAAAUUCAUCCGUACCCAAGGAUCGCUUCAGAGAUGCUGAGUGACCAGUAAAACGGGAAAACAUGCCAGCAUCACACACACAUACCUCAGCGACUCUGAAUUCACAAGAAAGGACUUGCUUUCCAAACUGAUGCUCCAUUUAAGAGGAGUUUUGGGAACCUUAAGAACAUAAAGCAUCUUCUCUGCCUGCCCUCAGCUUUGAACUGUUCUUGUGAUGAAGCCUCCUUACAUUUACGCCUGGAAGUUAAACCAGCUACAGACUGAUAGACAAACCCUGGAUACUCACACGUGGCUAAAAAGUACAGCAUUGUCAGCCACCAGAAGAACACAAGUCAGAACCACAGUGAGACACACGUCACAGGUACCAGCCUGGCUGUAGAGGAAAAUGUUGGCAAGAGUGUAGAAAACUGCAACUGGUGGAAAUGUCAUGGUGCAGCGACUGUGGGAAAAUCUGGCGCUUCCUCAGAAGUUGAACACAGAAUCACCACACCCACAGCAAUUCCACUCCUAGGAAUACACCCUGAAGAACCAAGAGCAGGGACUCAGAUAGCUGUAUGCCCAUGUCCACACCAGCAUCAUUCAAACAUCCGUCAACGGAUGAAUGGAGAAAUAAAAUGCCGUCUCAGCCUACAAUGCAGUAUUAUCACUCAACCGUCAAAAAGUAUGAAUUAACCUAAAUGAAGAGCAACACAGAAAGACAAACACCACAGGUUCCGCUUACACGAGAUCCCCAAAAGAGGCAAACUCGGAGAUGCAGAGCAGACCUGUGUUACCAGAAGCUGGGGAGCGGGGUGGGAUGGGAGGUGGUUACCAUCCACCAGUUUCUGCUCCUGCUGCUGCAGAAGUUCUGGGAUACUAAAGGUGGUUGAUACACUGUAUUUAUUUUCCACCAAAUUGUAUACUUACAAAUGGUUAAAAGAAACAUUACUUCCUGGGUAUUUUACCACACAAACAAAGCUCAAACCAGCAGGAGUAAAUUAAAUGCUUGCUACAUGUGUAGCACUGAGCUCACCACACCCAGGCGGCCUUCACACCAGGCAGGCAAAGGGGAGAGAGCCACAGCCUGCCUUCGAGGACACUCGGUGUUUCCACCACCAGUAAAGCGGCCGAUUCUGAAAAGCCAAUCUGUUUUCUAGUCCCAACCAGACCCCAAAGGACACCCCUUACAAAGAUCAGGUUCAAGGACUUGCAACACAUUAAAAACAACCUGGAUUUUAUACACUUUCCAGCACGCAAUAAACACCAGACUUCUCCAGUGCUACUACUUGCUCCGUGAGCCUCUGACACAGAGCUGGGUUUACUGGAAGGAAGCUUUGCUGAUUAUUAAGAGUCGAGACCCAGCAGCCUUGACGGUGAGGAGUUCGCGUCUUGCCGCUGACACCCGCGAGCCAGGACGCACUGUGCCUACAGGGGGAGGCCGGGCGGCGUUUGCAGUGCACCGACCCGGGCCACCGCAUCGCGUGGUCUUCAGGGGACUCUGCAUUGUCUGAAUUUGAGGAUGAAAAGCAGAACUCUACAACUCAUCCUAAAAGAGAGAGCAAUCUCCAGGCAUUUUUUAUUAUUUGACUAACAGAACAAAGCCAGGCUGAAAAGCCCCCGAGGAAAGUCACGCUUCCUGGCUGCUUGCCGUGUGGUCCUCCAUCUUCUAAGCACUCACUGUAUUUCCUUCUAACGAUUUUAGACAUUUAUUUUGAUCACAAAUGCAAUCCAAGUGUGAAUAAAUAAAUGUAUUAUCUUUUAAGAUUCCCACCCCACCCCACCCCCCGCCCCAACCAUG
This is a long non-coding RNA of Cervus elaphus (red deer), 4289 nucleotides long. RefSeq lists it as uncharacterized. The transcript is spliced from 5 exons. The record is from RefSeq and is a predicted model, not a curated record. NCBI's taxonomy places the organism in Eukaryota, Metazoa, Chordata, Mammalia, Artiodactyla, Cervidae.